CGGUCCAAAGAAAUUCCCAUCACAUGUUUUCUUUCCUUCGCCUGUGCUGAUAAAUUUCUUUCUGAAAGCAGCCAGAGGUUUUAAUGGGUGUUUUCAUAGAGAGAGUUCCUGACCCCUCCUGGCUCAACACUAGGGAGCUUUAAGCAGAACGGAAAAUGAAUACAAACCGGAAUAUGUUGGGAAGAUACAGUAGAGAAGACUUGUGUGGAUCCCUGAGCCAGUACAAAUGCCUGCUUAAUUAGAAAAUCAAUCUUGGCUGUCCGGGUGACAGAUAGGAAUCCUCUGUUGGAGAUGAGAAAGAGAGUCCAGUCAUGGUUUGAAAAUAAGUCCUUAAAGCCAAACCUAAAGAAGACAGCAGCCUUUAUUCAACUACACCCAUCAAGGGGAAAUGGAGAUAUAGAAAAUGUCUGGUUCUCAAAGGAUCCGUGUGUUGUAUAGGGAACUCUUCUCCAGGACACAUCUUCUGUCCGAGGUCUAAAGGAAUGCAUCCAAAGUUGUGGAGAGAGCUUUCUGUGCAAAGUGGCAGGUGCAGAGUGGAGCCCGCUAAGAGAAGGAUGUGUGCUGCAGGCCGGAGGGAAAGAACAGUGCAGAAGCCAGUCAGAAUUGUGGGGUUUGCUGUUUGCCCUCCUGAGUUGUGGGCUCCAUAGUUAUGAUAUUGCCAUGAGUUUCAGAGGAGCUGGAACAAGGAAAGUACAGGAUAGCCAAAAGAACUUACUAUCUCAAAGUAGAAGGAAGAAGUCAAAGAAUAAAGGAACUCCGAAGACAAAGAGUGGACCCAGAGAAGUAUGAAGACCUUGAUCUUCACAAUAAUAAUUACUACAGAAUGAUAAAUCAUUGAAUAAAUACUACAAACACACGACUAUGUCAGAUGUGGGAAUUAGAUGCUAGUUCAUAAAGAUGGAAGGAAUAAUUCAUUAGAUAAAUCAGUCAUCGGCAGCAAUGGUGGUAAUAAUUAAACUGAGAAAUAUCUAUGGAUGAAAAUUAAGUGGGUGAAGAUCUGAAAUGAUAUUUACAUAAUGUGAGAGAAGUAGUUCUCAUAACAUAUUUGUGUGUUAAGAAGAAAACAAGCUUAGCAUUUGGAAAGGUCUGGCAGGCAGUAUCUUAGCCCAAUUACAGACUUAACUCCAAGGAAACACAACAAAAAGCAGCUGCCAGGGCUGGGAAGAUGCACAAAACCUCCUAGAAAAGGUGGGCGUUCAAUCCCAUAGCAAUGUAAAACCAAGUAGGCUCAAUUUGGGGACAGAGUGCAGAUAACUGGCCCUAUGUUUUCAAAAUAUCAAGGUCAAGAUGGUUGAAAACGACCAGAGAAAGCAUUUCAGGAUACUAUGACAUUGUUGGCCAACCUUGCAUCUUCUGUGAAGUGGUUGCUGCAGCCUGGAUGGAGGCUGAGGGUAAGGGAUGAUGAUGUGUCAAUGUUAAUUUUCUGGUUUUGAUAGGUUUAUUAUGGCUGUGCUAAAUGACAUUCCUGUUUGAAGGAAAUUCACACUAAACUGUCAGAAGAGCUGUUAAGACAGCACAUAUAUAAAUUACUCGGAGAUUGUUAGGAAUCUAUAUCACACUUGCAAUUUUUCUCUAAGUUUGAAUUUUCUAACUGACAAUUAUUUAAGUACUGGUGGCAUAGUUAAGUGGUUACUUCAGAGGACUCGAUAUUAGAUCUAUGUUAGAUGCCUCAUAGCCAUUCAUAACUUUAGUUUCAGGAGAUCUAAUGCCCAUGGGUACCUGCAUAUAUAUAUAUAUAUAUAUAUAUAUAUAUAUAUAUAUAUAUAUAUAUAUAUAUAUAUAUAAAAUCAUAUACUUACACACACACACACACACGCACUAAAUCUUUAAAAUGAUCUAUGUAUUUUUUUAUCCUCUCAUAUAUUCCUUCCUGACUGCAGUUUCCCUUCUCUCCUCCCCCAAUUCCCACUCCCCAGUUCAUCCCUCAGCAUCCAUUUUUUCUACAGAAAAUAGCAGUCUUCCUUGGGAUAUCAACAAAACCUGGCAUAUCAAAUUGCAAUAAGACUAGGAACCUCCCUUCAUUUUCAUUGGGAAGAUUUAUUGUGGAAAAAAUAGAUAAGAAUUAACCUGCCCACCAAAGUUUUAUCAUACAUGGGGGACAAAUCUCCCCUACUCCCAGCAGCUCUCAACAAGUAAUGGAUGCUGAGAGAGGAAAGGCAUGUUCCUCAGUAGUGUAUCCACUGUGUGCUAUGUCAUUAUAUGCUUAUGCCAUCGAAAGACAUGGAUAUAGGAAGGGAGGUUUGUUAGAAUAAAUAGGGUUGAAAGGGAGGGGGAAGAAUAUGUAUGUGACAUUGUGACAGAAUAGAGAUUAAAAGCAAAAAGAACUGGUUCAUGCUUUCAAACGGUUAGAAGCUAGACUGAAGGCUUUCUAGUUAAGAGCACACACAUUGGUAUUGCAAAGUAGCUGGGUUGGCAUUCCAAAGCCCACAUGAUGGCUUACCACUGUCUAUAAGUCCAGUUCCAGAAGGGUCCUUGAUGCUCUAUUCUGAUCUCUAUGGGCUGUAUACUUACAGACACAUAAGCAAAAUACUCUUAAAAUAAAUAAAAAUAUUUUUAAAGGCUACUGUAGAGUAGAAAGGAAAAGACAUUGAAGAUGAAGUAGCCAGAAGAACACACACACACACACACACACACACACACACACACACACACACACAUACACAUAUGGAUGGGGGAGAGAGAGAGAGAGAGAGAGAGAGAGAGAGAGAGAGAGGUGGCUUAUGUCACAUACAUACAUACAUACAUACAUACAUACAUACAUGGCAGGGUUGGGGAUUUAGCUCAGUGGUAGAGCGCUUGCCUAGGAAGCGCAAGGCCCUGGGUUCGGUCCCCAGCUCCGGAAAAAAAAAAAACAUACAUACAUGGGUGGUUCUGGAAUGAAAUGUCUAUGUAUCAUGUUGGUUCCUCUGUGAGCAAAGAGGUUUCAGAGUGGUAGUGAGCAUCUUACAUACUGUAGUCCCCCUCCUUCUUGCAAGGAAAUAUAGUAACAGGGUGAACUCUAAGCUAUGCAGAGCAAAUGGCCAGGUGACUAUAGUUGUUAGUUAGUUACUAUUAUUAACUAUUGGUAAUUUUAGUGAAACAGCUACAUCUAAAUUGUGGCUUUGAUAGUUAUUUGACCUUGAGAAAAAUUUUAUUUGUUUUCCUGAGACCCUGGUUUUCCAUUUAAACCAUAAACAAACAAACAAACAAACAAACUGACUUAGUAGGCACAACUAAUGUGACGGUUGUGAGAAUUAACUGAGGUGAUGGAAAUGCUUGGCAGUGGGUGUGUAUGCUUCAAUGGUGGGGCUUCUCAGCUGGGGUCAUAACGCCAUCUACUCACAAGGCUGAGGCAGAAUGACUAAUGCUGAAGGCCAGCCUGGGCUGUGCAGCACACAUGUAGAUAGAGUCUAGUCAAUCUAGUGAGACUCUACCUCAAAACAAAAGUUUAAAAGAUGGUUGAGGGGGCUGGAGAGAUGGCUCAGCGGUUAAGAGCACCCGACUGCUCUUCCAGAGGUUAUGAGUUCAAUUCCCAGCAACCACAUGGUGGCUCACAACCAUCUGUAAAGAGUUCCAAUGCCCUCUUCUGGUGUGUCUGAAGACAGCUACAGUGUACUUAUAUAUAAUAAAUAAAUAAAUCUUUAAAAAAAAAAAGAUGGUUGAGAUAGGACUCAAUGGCAGAGUACUUACCUCACAUGUGAAGCCAUUGGUUAAAGUCAUUAUGUAAAAAAUGUUAAUUACUACUACAAAUAUACAAGUCAAAACAUAGUAAAUGCCCCAGAGAAAAUUAAAAGCAUAGGGUAACUCUGAGGAAAGGAAAAGAAAAAACUCAAAUGGAAGUGGAGGGUACACACCAGGUUGAACAAUUUUCUUGAAUGGUUAUUACUCUCACAUAAGGACUGGGAGGCAGAUUUAUCACAGAGCAGCAGGCUUCACUCUUGUUCCUGACUCCCUGAUGCAUUUAGACCAUUCUGAGGCCCUAGGGCAUACUCUGUAAAGCCUUCAUAUAUUUACACCAAAUUUAAAACUUCUGUGUAUAUGGUAUUUGAUUGGCAGGCAAAAACAGUUUUUCUUACUCAGGCUCACCUGUGUAGAAAGUCAAAUUCUUGCUUGGCUUUCAAACUCCAGCCUAGAGUUAGAGAUUUAAGAAAAUAUUAUUUGCAUCUGGUUAACGAAUAGCUGAGUUACUCUCACUACCCACUGGCCAACUUAUCCAGCAACGACAUCAAAUGUCCAUUGGUGUUUUGAAACCCAGAGUCUGAGAAGAAUCAAUACAUGUUGCUGCUGACACCUCUUUUGACAGCCCAGAAUGACCCCAGGGAAUGGCAUAAUGAAGAUGGGUCAAGAUAAACUUCACAGGCAUGAGACUUCCAUAUUAGGUAAUAAUAGAUUUUUGUCAAGUUUGAUAAUUAACAUACCCAGCAUUUGAAAUAUUCUGGAUAUUAAAAUAGAAAAUGUUUGAAAUACAAUCAGGGUUCAGUAUGGGGAAAAUUCUUCGAUCAAGAGAAAUGCAAAACUAUAAGUAGCUAAUCUGCUUUGAGUCAGUCUGUGUAGUCAGCUUGCAAAUUCUCUCCAUAGAUAAGAACAUAAACCUAUCAAGGUACCUCCGUGGGAAGUCAAUCAGUGACUAGCUAGUCAAUGGGUUGUGCCAGUACAAACAUGAUCUAAGAUUAGUUAACUUGAAAGGUUCUGAAUUCUUUUAACCUGUAUAGGAAAGAAACUGGUUUAGUGGUUUCCAAUAGUGACAAAAUAAAUCCUACCAAAAUACUUUCAAUCAUGAAGUCUGUAAUAGGCUAGAAAUAUGCAGAAUUGAAAAAGAAACUGAAUAAAUAAAGAAGUAAACUAAAAACAGCUAGAUAAAUGUAGACGAAAUUGUGCAAGAUCCUGAGGUUGGCAAAUAAAACAUUCUUGUAUGUUUUCUGAUAUUUAUAGAUAAUUUAUUUCUGAGAAGUAGAUAAUUCAUUGUAAUUUUCCUAUAUGUAAAUAUUUACUUUCACAUCUUGUAUUUAAUUACCUUCUUCCUUGUUUUAACCAAAUAUAGAACAAGAAACAAAUUAACAAAUAAGGAUCUCUUUUGCAAUAUGGCUUAAGGGUAUAAUCCAAUGGUAUAUGACAAGAUCAUAGGUGGUAGGCUGGCCCCACUACAUCUCCAGGUAGAAAGUUGGGAGAAUGUUGAAUGCUGGAUUUCAAGUGACCUUUUUCUUCCUUUUUGUUUUAAAUGUAGAGGGAUCCCAGCCUAAAGGAUGGUGCUACCCAAAGGUGUGUACUUCUUCCUUAGUUCAAACUUUUUUCAAAACUCCCUCACAGACAUUCCCAGAAGUGUGUCUCCUAGGUGAUCCCAAACCUAGUCAAGUACAACUCAUUUAUUAGUUGAACUCUUUAUUUUAAAGACUGCCCAAAGAGAACAACAACAAAAAUCAGCCUCAGGCCCACAAAAUUCGGACCUACUCUGGCGUUGCUAACGUCUUAGUACCUCUUGCCGAUAGUUGACUUGGGAUUGAACACAAACAGGUAAAAUCCCAGGUUUGUGAAAGGAAACAUAUGGAAUAGUCCAUGAUCAAUGACUUUUAGGAUAGAGGUAAUCUGGGGAUAUUAUAUGCUAAAGAAAAUAUUGGUUGUAACAGGGAGAGAGAUACUGUGCUUGAGAUAAGGGUAGAAUGAAGAAAAGACUGGGCCUUCCAGAGAAAGCAGUGGGAGAGGGAGGCAUUAAGAGUGGGUCUUGAGCUUGUGUGUGUGUGUGUGUGUGUGUGUGUGUGUGUAGGGAGUUAUUUCUGUGACCUUUUUUUUUUUUUUUUUCCGGAGCUGGGGACCGAACCCAGGGCCUUGUGCUCGCUAGGCAAGUGCUCUACCACUGAGCUAAAUCCCCAACCCCUUCUGUGACCUUGAUCUUGUUUACAUUAAAGGCCAAAGUGUAACCUCAAAGUUGGAGGUUUCAAUAACUGGUCACUAAUAACUCCUUUCCUAGGUGUAACUGUUGAGACAGUAAUGUAUCUGCUUCAAUUAGAAUCAAGACUUCCUAUUGCCCUUAGUCUCUGUAUGCAGAAGCUCUGUUGCAAAUUUGUCUGUAAGUCUGAUGGGAUUUGGCUAGAAAAUGAUAGACUCUUACUGUAGUGUCUUGACGUGGUAGUCAGUUAAUCCUCUCUACACUCUUUUGAUGGAUGUGCACAUGCUUCUUGCCACCCGCCAAAAUGCUCUGGAUUUCAGAAAGACAACACACACACACACACACACACACACACACACACACACACACACACACAGUCUUCUAUUUUAACAUGCCUAAAACAAAGCAAUGGCUGGGUACUUUCAAAUCUCUGUGUUGCUAACACUUCCCCUCUGAUAUUCCUGAAUUAUUACUUACUAAAAUCUAUAUUUCAUUUCUGCUACCCCAGACCCAGUCGGCGGAAUGGCCUCUGGGAUUAUUCUUCCCCAAUUCUUACAUUUUUGUCUGUUUUCUCUCCUAUAGCUCUCAGGUUUGAUGUUUCUGCUUCUGUGGCUUGGUGAUUCUAAAAGCUCCUUGUGGUCUCUUCCCAGGAAAUCUAAAAUCCUGCCUUUGUUGUUUCCCUGCUUAGCAGUUGGCAGCCAGCAACUUUAUUUGUCAAUUAGAGCCAACUGGGAGCAGGGACCCUCAGUGUCUUACAGGCAGAUGUGAAGAUUCCCGUGUGAUUUUUGUAGUCAAAUUAACACAAAUAACUUUAGAACCAACCCACAACACUGUCUGAAUAGUUAAAGAAAGCCACAAGAAUAAUAAUGUAUGUUAGUGAGGAGAUCACUGAAUGGGGAACUUGAGCUGUUGUUGAAGAAAAGAAACUAAGAUUCAGUUUUUAUAGAAUUAUUCUCCCCAGAAGGGAAGGUAGCAAACAAGAAGACAUGCAAUAAUAAAGUGAGAUGUAGCACAUAAAUAAAAACACCAACACUAUAAAUAGCAUCAAAUGCAGAAGAGAAGAAUUUCAGGUGUGAAAUGUUAGAGUAAAUGUGAGUAAAUGAAGGGUUAUUAUGUGAAAACAUCUGGUGUUAUUUGGUAUGUGGUUCCAAGAACAUGGGGGCUGCCGAUGUGUUUGGGAUGCUAUAACAACAAUAACAAUAGCUACACACCCACAUAAACUGUAGGACAAUCGGUUUCUCUCACAUGCUAGUGGUGGAAAAGACUAGGCUCAAGGCCUUGGAAGAUUCAGUGUCAAGUUCAGGGACGCCUGCUUCAGAGGGAUCUCCUGACUGGGAUCUCAUAUGACAGGAAAGAAAAGGUGGUUUUCUGAGGUCGCUUCAAAGGCCACAAUUCUACUCUGGACAGACUUUCACUUUUGAUCCAAACAUUGCCAAAAAAGUUCAACUUUCUAAAACUAUCAUUUUCAGGGAUAGGAUUUUAAAAUUUAAAACCUAAAGCAAAACUCUGUGUGGAUAUUUGUGUGUAUACAUGUAUGUGUUUGUUUGCAUGUGUAUAGGCCAGAAGCCAACCCCACGUAUAGUUUCUUAGGAGUCAUCACCUUGUUUUUGGAGACAGGGUCUCUCACUGCCUGGGGUUUGCGAAGUGGGCUAGGAUGGCUGGCUAAUGAGUUCCAGGUACCUUCUCUUGUCUCUGCCUUCCCAAUGCUGAGAUUAUAAGUGUUCAACCUUUCUGAGAUUUUAGACUUUAUUUAUUUUAUUUGAUGUGUAUGUGUGUGCCUAAGGGUGCACUUGGGUGGUGGUGGUGGGGACAAAAAGGGGCAUUGGAUCACCUGGAAUUGAAGCUACAGGUUAAGUGUGAGCUUCAGUGAAUGGAACCAUUGUGCUUCACAAAAGGAUUGAACACUCUUGACCACUGAGCAAUCUUUUCUUGCCUUCAUUCUGGACUUUUUACAUUGGGUUCUGGGGAUCAAACUCAGGUCCUCAUGUAUUUGUGUAGUGUGCUUGUUAAUUUUUGUCAAGUUAAUAUAAACUUGGAUCACCCGGGAAGUGAUUCUCAAUUGAAGAAUUGUCAGAUUGGCUUUUCUUCAUUUUUGUGUAGCAUUUUCUUGAUUAAUGAUUGGUGGAUAAGAGCCUACCUAACGGUAGACAGAGUCAUCUUUGGGCAGAUGGGCUUGGGUUAUACAAGAAAACAAACUGAGCAAAUCAUAAAAAGCAUGCCAGUAAGCAGAGGUCUCCCCAUGGCCUCUGCUUCAGUUCCUACUUCCUGGUUACUUCCCUGACCUCUCUCCACGGUGGAUCAUGACCUGAACAGAUGAAAUAAACCCUUUCCUUCCCUAAGUUGAUUUUUGAUCAGAAAAACAGAACGGAACAGCAGAGAAACAGUUUGGGACACACAGAGAGCACUUUACAGUACACGGAGUCAUCUCUCUAGCCCACAGCAAAGCUUCUUAAAGUAUCAAGCCUCUUCACAAGAUGAUUGCUACGCAUUCCUUUUCAGAGUUGACACUUAGACCCGGCCAGGGAGCCUCCUUGAGCUGAUGAGAUGGAUUUGGACUGGCCUCUGCUGUGCCCAGAGGGACAUCACUCCAAUGUUUGCACAAGGAUAUCUUUUCUAAACUUUGUUGUUUAAAUCAUGAAAUGUUCCAAACAUUGCACACAAUAAUAAAAGCUUGUCAAAAGUU
Non-coding RNA from Rattus norvegicus (Norway rat), 8546 nucleotides. Lineage: Eukaryota; Metazoa; Chordata; Mammalia; Rodentia; Muridae. The record is from RefSeq and is a predicted model, not a curated record.